Long non-coding RNA from Daphnia magna, 261 nucleotides. RefSeq lists it as uncharacterized. The transcript is spliced from 3 exons. The record is from RefSeq and is a predicted model, not a curated record. NCBI's taxonomy places the organism in Eukaryota, Metazoa, Arthropoda, Branchiopoda, Diplostraca, Daphniidae.
CAAUUCUGCACCUGAAAAACUCAAAGUUUAAGGACUUAUUUAGUUUGUCUAGCAUUUUUUCAUUGGAAUUGUCACAUCCUAAAGUGAGUCAACUUCAUUUCACUUGCAACUGUUGCAAGCUGCACCUGAAUAACUGACGUCACAUCCUAAGUGAGUCAAGUAGUCAACUUCAUUUCACUCGCAAGCUGCACAUGAAUAACUUUGAGUGUGACUCUGACGUAUGAAUUUGUUCAUAGUUUUAAUAGCAUUUCUUAUGUUUUU